Molecule: ribosomal RNA, 464 nt
Filed under: Vreelandella stevensii
Lineage: Bacteria; Pseudomonadati; Pseudomonadota; Gammaproteobacteria; Oceanospirillales; Halomonadaceae
Description: partial 16S ribosomal RNA
Rfam family: Bacterial small subunit ribosomal RNA
Source: RNAcentral
UCUACGGGAGGCAGCAGUGGGGAAUAUUGGACAAUGGGCGAAAGCCUGAUCCAGCCAUGCCGCGUGUGUGAAGAAGGCCUUCGGGUUGUAAAGCACUUUCAGUGGGGAAGAAAGCCUUGGGGCUAAUACCCUCGAGGAAGGACAUCACCCACAGAAGAAGCACCGGCUAACUCCGUGCCAGCAGCCGCGGUAAUACGGAGGGUGCGAGCGUUAAUCGGAAUUACUGGGCGUAAAGCGCGCGUAGGCGGUCUGAUAAGCCGGUUGUGAAAGCCCCGGGCUCAACCUGGGAACGGCAUCCGGAACUGUCAGGCUAGAGUGCAGGAGAGGAAGGUAGAAUUCCCGGGGUAGCGGUGAAAUGCGUAGAGAUCGGGAGGAAUACCAGUGGCGAAGGCGGCCUUCUGGACUGACACUGACGCUGAGGUGCGAAAGCGUGGGUAGCAAACAGGAUUAAUACCCUAGUAGUC